Molecule: non-coding RNA, 26 nt
Filed under: Drosophila melanogaster (fruit fly)
Lineage: Eukaryota; Metazoa; Arthropoda; Insecta; Diptera; Drosophilidae
Source: RNAcentral
ACAAAUCUGAAGGGCAAAUACUAAUC